Molecule: ribosomal RNA, 467 nt
Filed under: uncultured bacterium
Lineage: Bacteria
Description: partial 16S ribosomal RNA
Rfam family: Bacterial small subunit ribosomal RNA
Source: RNAcentral
GAUGAACGCUGGCGGCGCGCCUAACACAUGCAAGUCGAACGGUUAAAGCACCUUUGGGGGUGUAUAAAGUGGCGAACGGCUGAGUAACACGUGGGCAACUGGCUGCUUGCAUUGGGUAAGCCACGGGAAAGCGUGGUUAAUACGGAUUAGUUCGAGGCGUCCACAUGGAAGACUCGAGGAAGCCCCGGUGGCGAGGGAGGGGCGCGCGGCCUGGUAGCUUGUUGGGGGAGUAACGGCCCACCAAGGCAAUGAGGGGCCGCUGUGAUGAGAGACGGAACAGCGAGCUUGGGCCUGCGACAGGGACCAGACGCCUACGGGAGGCAGCAGUGGGGAACCUUGCACAGUGGGCGAGCGCCUGUUAAGGCGGUGCCCGGUGCGGGAUGAAGGCCUUCGGGUUGUAAACCGCUUUCAGCAGGGACGAGGCGAAAGUGACGGUACCUGCAGAAGAAGCCCCGGCUAACUACGUG